AGAAUCAACGCUGGCGGCGUGCCUAACACAUGCAAGUCGAACGAGAAAGUGGAGCAAUCCAUGAGUAAAGUGGCGCACGGGUGAGUAACACGUGACUAACCUACCCUUGAGUGGGGGAUAACCUAGGGAAACCUGGGCUAAUACCGCAUAAUACCUUCGGGUCAAAGGAGCAAUUCGCUUUAGGAGGGGGUCGCGGCCGAUUAGUUAGUUGGCGGGGUAAUGGCCCACCAAGACGAUGAUCGGUA
Molecule: ribosomal RNA, 245 nt
Filed under: uncultured bacterium
Lineage: Bacteria
Description: partial small subunit ribosomal RNA
Rfam family: Bacterial small subunit ribosomal RNA
Source: RNAcentral